UCCCCCCGGGGUGCUCUGGGGGCCUUGCUGGCGGAAUCCGACCCAGAAGAGCAGGGAGAGAGGAGAGGCGGGGGCGAGGCGGAGCUACAACCCGAGCUCAGCGGAGGCCGGAACCUGAGUGGGAACCUACUGACUGAUAUUAGAAUCAGAAGGAUUCUUGGAGACCACCUACGCAAGACCUGUUCAUUUCCAGAUGUAGAUGCUGAGCCUCAGAGAGAUUCAAGUAAUUUCACCAAAGUCACACAGCUUUGUUCUAGGUGCUGGAGAUCCUAAUGUGAAAGACACGGUCGCUGACAUCAAAAAGCCACAGUUCUAGGAGGAAGCUCAGCAGUAUUGGAGGCAACACGAAGGCAGAUGGGAGCACCUAGAAGAGGCAGUUGACCCAGCUUGGGGAGGAAUUAGAAGUUUUCCAGGAGAGGAGACAUAUGUGCUGAUCUUAAAGCCAGAGCCAGCCAGACAAGACGGGGCGUGUACCGUUGCUCAACGAUCCUGCCGCAUUGCGAGCCUCCAGGCUGAGGAGCCAGUGCAAUUAGCAUUCCAAGGUGCCAAUCAUUUCCCCACCAUCCGCGCCCGCAGCAUCUUCUUCUGACUACAAAGGCUGGACUGACUGGCUUUCUUAAUGGAAAGUGUACACAUGAAAGAUUUACAGAAACAUUCUUAAAAGUUAUAAAUCCAAACAUUGCGUCGUGUGUAGAACCCAUUGAACUAUAUAGGACAGGAGACAGUUUCAAAAGAGCAUGUGGUGCUGUGUCUUCCACCUCUUGUUUCUAAGUUAAAAAAAAAGCAAGAAAAAAGAAAAAACGGACUCAAACCAACUCCACUGUAGUCAUGCUUUAAUCUCAUUCUAAACUUGAGGCAUCCCGUUGAAGUGAGACCCACAGGGAACAGGGCCCAGCAAAUCCUGGACCUCCUCCUAUCUGGUACAGACACAGAACUUGUCCUGAACUGGUUUCCUUAAAGCUAUCUUUUUUUUUUUUCCUUUUGCAUACAGAGCAGUAUUUUCCAAAAUGAAGUAUGGAAAUCAACGUAUGUGUGCGUGUGUGUGCGCACGCAUGCACAUAAAUGGACUUUAAAUGGUAUAUGAACAAAUAUACUUUUUAUUUUCAUACUUGUUAGUUUAAAUGUAUACUAAG
This is a long non-coding RNA of Hipposideros armiger (great roundleaf bat), 1133 nucleotides long. RefSeq lists it as uncharacterized. The transcript is spliced from 4 exons. NCBI's taxonomy places the organism in Eukaryota, Metazoa, Chordata, Mammalia, Chiroptera, Hipposideridae. The record is from RefSeq and is a predicted model, not a curated record.